GAAGGAUAUUGGGUGUUACUGCUAAUAAUACAUAGAGCUUUUUUAGCUCAUCUUUCU
This 57-nucleotide transfer RNA is filed under the name Cichlidogyrus sclerosus. RNAcentral's name for it is "tRNA-Ser". The record is from RNAcentral. Lineage: Eukaryota; Metazoa; Platyhelminthes; Monogenea; Dactylogyridea; Ancyrocephalidae.